AGAGUUGUAUUGCAAGUUUUGAAAGAGAAGAAGUUGUAAGUGAAGUUGUCCAAGUGUGAAUUCUGGUUGCAAGAGGUUAGUUUCCUUGGUCAUGUCAUUUCUGGUGGUGGCAUUAUCGUGGAUCCUUCUAAAGUUGGUGUUGUGUUGCAAUGGGAAGCUCCGAAGUCGGUUACUAAAAUUAGAAGCUUCUUGGGAUUAGCCGGUUACUAUAGACGGUUUAUCGAAGGUUUUUCUAAGUUGGCACUUCCGUUGACUAAGUUGACUUGUAAGGGUAAAGCUUUUGUGUGGGAUAUUCAAUGUGAAGAAAGUUUUACCGAGUUGAAGAAGAGGUUGACGUCGACUCCGGUUUUGACUUUGCCUAACCCGGAAGAACUUUUUGUUGUGUAUUGUGAUGCUUGUCUGAUGGGGUUAGGUGGCGUACUCAUGCUGAAUAUUAAGGUGGUUGCUUAUGCAUCGAGGCAGUUGAGAACUCAUGAAAAGAAUUAUCCUACGCAUGAUUUAGAGUUGGCUGCAGUUGUUUUUAUGCUGAAAAUUUGGAGGCAUUAUCUUUAUGGUUCUAGAUUCGAAGUGUUUAGUGACCAUAA
Non-coding RNA from Vicia faba (fava bean), 584 nucleotides. The record is from the annotation of a GenBank genome assembly. Lineage: Eukaryota; Viridiplantae; Streptophyta; Magnoliopsida; Fabales; Fabaceae.